AGCGAACGCUAGCGGCGGGCCUAACACAUGCAAGUCGAGCGGAGGGAGCAAUCCUUCAGCGGCGGACGGGUGAGUAACGCGUAGGUAAUGUACCUUCUGGUGGGGAAUAACCGUGGGAAACCAUGGCUAAUACCGCAUAUCGUCCUUACGGGAUGAAAGCCUUCGGGCGCCAGAAGAGCAGCCUGCGUCCCAUUAUUUAGUCCUAGUUGGUGAGGUAACGGCUCACCAAGGGUACGAUGGGUAGCUGGUCUGAGAGGAUGAUCAGCCACACUGGAACUGAGACACGGUCCAGACUCCUACGGGAGGCAGCAGUGGGGGAAUAUUGUGCAAUGGGCGAAAGCCUGACGCAGCCACGCCGCGUGAGUGAUGAAGGCCUUCGGG
Molecule: ribosomal RNA, 381 nt
Filed under: uncultured bacterium
Lineage: Bacteria
Description: bacterial SSU rRNA
Rfam family: Bacterial small subunit ribosomal RNA
Source: RNAcentral